This 221-nucleotide ribosomal RNA is filed under the name uncultured bacterium. RNAcentral's name for it is "partial 16S ribosomal RNA". It matches the Rfam family "Bacterial small subunit ribosomal RNA", at positions 99 to 334 of the family's 1533-position model. The record is from RNAcentral.
CGUACGGGUGAGUAACACGUGAAUCAUCUACCCUCGAGUGGGGAAUAACCAAGAGAAAUCUUGGCUAAUACCGCAUAACACUUACGAGUCAAAGCAGCAAUGCGCUUGAGGAGGAGUUCGCGGCAGAUUAGUUAGUUGGCGGGGUAAUGGCCCACCAAGACGAUGAUCUGUAUCCGGCCUGAGAGGGCGCACGGACACACUGGAACUGAAACACGGUCCAG